RNAcentral lists this ribosomal RNA (418 nucleotides) under uncultured bacterium. Its description in RNAcentral is "bacterial SSU rRNA". It matches the Rfam family "Bacterial small subunit ribosomal RNA", at positions 355 to 786 of the family's 1533-position model. The record is from RNAcentral.
UGGGGAAUAUUGGGGCAAUGGGCGCAAGCCUGACCCAGCAACGCCGCGUGAAGGAAGAAGGCUUUCGGGUUGUAAACUUCUUUGACAGGGGAAGAUAAUGACGGUACCCUGAAAACAAGCUCCGGCUAACUACGUGCCAGCAGCCGCGGUGAUACGUAGGGGAGCAAGCGUUAUCCGGAAUUACUGGGUGUAAAGGGCGCGUAGGCGGGUCUACAAGUCAGAUGUGAAAUGCCAGGGCUUAACCUCGGAGCUGCAUUUGAAACUGUAGGUCUUGAGUGAUGAAGAGGCAGGGCGGAAUUCCCGGUGUAGCGGUGGAAUGCGUAGAUAUCGGGGAGGAACACCAGUGGCGAAGGCGGCCUGCUGGACAUUAACUGACGCUGAGGCGCGAAAGCGUGGGGAGCAAACAGGAUUAGAUACC